RNAcentral lists this ribosomal RNA (468 nucleotides) under uncultured bacterium. RNAcentral's name for it is "partial 16S ribosomal RNA". It matches the Rfam family "Bacterial small subunit ribosomal RNA", at positions 28 to 507 of the family's 1533-position model. The record is from RNAcentral.
GACGAACGCUGGCGGCGUGCUUAACACAUGCAAGUCGAACGGAAAGACCCUGCUUUUGUGGGGUGCUCGAGUGGCGAACGGGUGAGUAACACGUGAGUAACCUGCCCUUGACUUUGGGAUAACUUCAGGAAACUGGGGCUAAUACCGGAUAGGAGCUCCUGCUGCAUGGUGGGGGUUGGAAAGUUUCGGCGGUGGGGGAUGGACUCGCGGCUUAUCGGCUUGUUGGUGGGGUAGUGGCUUACCAAGGCUUUGACGGGUAGCCGGCCUGAGAGGGUGACCGGCCACAUUGGGACUGAGAUACGGCCCAGACUCCUACGGGAGGCAGCAGUGGGGAAUAUUGCACAAUGGGCGGAAGCCUGAUGCAGCAACGCCGCGUGCGGGAUGACGGCCUUCGGGUUGUAAACCGCUUUCGCCUGUGACGAAGCGUGAGUGACGGUAAUGGGUAAAGAAGCACCGGCUAACUACGUG